UACGGAGGGUGCAAGCGUUAAUCGGAAUUACUGGGCGUAAAGCGUGCGCAGGCGGUUUGUUAAGUCUGCCGUGAAAUCCCCGAGCUCAACUUGGGAAUUGCAGUGGAUACUGGCAAGCUGGAGUACGGUAGAGGAAGGUGGAAUUCCCGGUGUAGCAGUGAAAUGCGUAGAGAUCGGGAGGAACACCAGUGGCGAAGGCGGCCUUCUGGACCAGUACUGACGCUCAUGCACGAAAGCGUGGGGAGCAAACAGG
Molecule: ribosomal RNA, 253 nt
Filed under: uncultured bacterium
Lineage: Bacteria
Description: partial 16S ribosomal RNA
Rfam family: Bacterial small subunit ribosomal RNA
Source: RNAcentral